AACUUACACUUUUUUUAACUUUUCAAGGUGUUUCAAAUCUUCUUGACUGAUAUGUGUUAUAAGGUUGUCUGCAAAAUCUCUGAGGAAAAAGAACAUGUAAGCAUAAAAAAGUUACAUCAUUAUUACAAAGUGUAAUCGCAAUCUCUGUUCGUUACCGGGAGAUACCAAUACAUAUUUUUUACUUACGCUACCAGAAUUUCCUUUGGUAUCUCGGGUAUUUUGCUAAGUCCAACCCCCCUGCACUGUAGCUCUUUUCCAUACUGAAGUAUCUUACAUCCGGGGUAGGCGCUCUUCUCUCCGCUCGCAAGAGCAACCACAACUCCAACCAACGCUAUACGGAGCAAAAUCCGAUGCCUGGACAUUCUUUUUUUUUUGUUUUCACAUCUUUCUGUUGUCUUGGUCCGACUUUUGAUGUGACGUAAUAAAAACUAACGACCAGCUAAUUGGGUGCGCACGAGAUAAACUCUCAAUUACGUCACCCGAAGAAACACGCGCGUGAAACUAAUACGCGCAGGCUUCAAUGCAAGCGUGCGCGUUGCCAGUCCAAUUUGACGUCAGAAUACCAUUUCAAAAUACGUCAACGUUGUGUAACGAAAUGGCUCAAGCGUUUCUUCUAAACAUCCUUGUAUUGGCUUUCUUCCUCUUUCAAACACAGACUAAUGAAAGUGCUUCUCUACUGCAUGACGCCAAUCAGGCAUCUACUAGAGUAAAUGAAAAGUCAGAAAGUUUUCCAGCAGGAUGCAGGCUGUAUCAAAAUAGAAAACUUCUGCAAUGCCGUAACGCUGGGCUGCAAACCAUCCCUGAGCUAAAAGAGGAAUGGAACAUAUUUUCUGUGUAAGUUAGCUUAUGUCGUGUGAUACUUUUGGAACAGUGAUACCGAUAUUUCUAAACAGUCGGGAAAAUAUUUCAAUCAUUUUUUGUCACCAGUGAUCUUUCUACAAACAACAUCUCAAGUCUCCAAUUCGGAGAUGGCUACAAAAACGUUAAAUCUGUGUGAGUAUAUGGUGUGUUUUUGGGUUGUUGCACUUUUCUCAAUACGCUUACCAGGGCUGUUCAAUUUACAAUCUGAUUUAUUUUUGCAGCAAUUUGGAGCGAAACAACAUUACGACUAUAACAGAAGAAUUAAUUCUGGAACUCCGACACAUUCACUUCCUGUAAGUGCAGAAAAAGUUUGUUUGAAAAUUAUUUAUGUAACUUGCUACAUUUUAAAAGAACAGAACGAUAUAUUUGAACUGUCUCCCCAAAACCAACAAUGACUGGGAGGUUAGAUCGCAAGGUAUUUUAAACUUGUGAGAGUUUCAAAAUAUGACUGCUUGUCGCCUCGCCUAGGGCUGUAAAAUGAAGAUGCUGUUUGGCUGUUCAGGGCGAGUUUGUUGGCUAUACCGAUCAGGCUUGCUCAGGUGAGGCUCAGAUUGGUCUUCUUUAGGGGUCUAAUUAAAGUUUUCCCACGAGCAUAUCCAAGUUUUCAACAUGGGAGUCCUUUCGGUUCAAAGUUGGUCAAAACCGUGUUACUGUCUCAACCUAGUCUGAUCAAUUACAUCGUUUACGAACAAAAACCCAAGAAGUUCCUUAGCUCGAUCGAGGCGCAUUUUGAUUCCAGAACAGCACACUAAAACCCUCUCGCACCAAUUUAUUCGUCAAAUAUCCUGAAUAGUACAUCCGUGGUUAACCUGCGCAUCCAGUGAGUUUUGGAAGAGUACUUAAUUAUAGAGGCUACCCGUAACAGAAAUAUUGAGAAUUCGGAACAUUCCAUAGUGCCUCUAUAUGUUACUGUUUGUCUAGGUCCAUCGGAGGAAACCCACUUCACUGCGACUGUAAACUUAAAUGGCUUCGUGAGCGGCUUCUCGGCUCAAACAACCAAUUUCCGUACGUAAGACAUAUUCAGGAUCUGAAAUGUGCCACACCGUCACGUUUGCAGGGAAGGAUUCUUGUAAAUCUCUCAGAAGAAGUGUUAUGUGGCUCUAAACCAGAGGACAGACUUCUAAGAUCUACGACUUCAGUUCCCACAAUUGAGGAGGAAAAGUUGGCCAACGCAACUGCAACAACUAAACCAGACGAGGCACGACAAAAAGCUGAGAAGGGGCGAGUUGCUGAGAUCAUCGGAGUGACUUUAGCUUUUGCUGCUGUAAUAGUUACCAUGUCUGUCGCUUUCAUUCUCAUUUGAUGUGUAUCUCUCCCCGAAAUAUCAGUUAGUAUUUGACUACAUCUUGCAAGGAUAAAUUUACCCAGUCAGAUAAUGAAAUAAUAAAUAUCUUUAUUAUAGGCAGUUUGCCGGCAUUGACUGCAAGAACUGGGUGCUCAAUUUUUCUUGUUUCCCUCCAUUAUCCGAGCGCAAAUAGUCUGCAACCGUUUCACUAUUUCAUAAUAAUUUAUUCAUAAUAUUCUGACCAAACAAUAUUUGCUACAGAACUUGAGGAGCAUCUCAGUAUUACUUUUAUCUGUCAUAUCAUUGAAAGGGCUAAGUCACUGUAUUUUAAGCAUCUUUGGUUAACUUCAAAUUGGCAGACUAACAGCCUUUCAUUGGCAACAUCACGGUCUCAUUACUGAACAAACAAAUACGGUUUCAAAGACUACCAUAUGACAUGACACUUUCGUACAAAAUGAGAUAACCUUUGAAUAGAUGGAAAAACGAUCAAGGCGUGAAAGGAGCCUUGAUCGUUUUUCUAUCUAUUCAAGUUGUCAAACUUGAGUAAUACAACAGGUUACUCAGUAAACACUGUCCAUGUUUGGUGUAAAGGCGCUGUUCAGACAUGCAACCGCAGAAAACCACAUAACUAGCGCGGCUAGCAUUGGAAAAGAGAAAGCGCGGGAAGACAUGCACUACCAACAGGUGGCUGGCUAACAGAAAGCGCGGGAAAACAUGUUAUGCCAGCGACAAGUUACAAAGUAACUACCGGUGGUUAGUGCGGGAAAACCUGUAACUACCACGACUUUUCCGGGCUUGAUAUUGGUUAAACGUUUUAACGUUUGGUCAAAAUUCGCUCUGAUUGUAACUUUCGUCAUUUUUUUCUAACCACUAUAAAGCGGAGUUAACGCAAAACCGGAACGAGCUAUAAUAAUUAUGGCUCGUUCAACAGCAGCCUUAAACAACCUCUUUCCUAAACAAA
Long non-coding RNA from Orbicella faveolata, 3107 nucleotides. The record is from RefSeq and is a predicted model, not a curated record. NCBI's taxonomy places the organism in Eukaryota, Metazoa, Cnidaria, Anthozoa, Scleractinia, Merulinidae.